UGUGUGUGUGUGUGUGUGUGUGUGUGAGUGUGUAGUGAGGAGGAGGACAGCAGCUGAGCAUUUUACUUCACUUCACUUUUAUAUCAACAACAAUGCUGUCAUUAUCAGUCUUGCUGCUGCUUUCAGCUGCAUUCUGUGGUGUUGGAGGUGUGGAGCUCACUCAGACAGACUCUGUGCUGGUGAAGCCUGGAGAGUCGUUCUCCAUCUCUUGUAAGAUCUCAGUGUCGAGUUAUUGUAUUAACUGGAUACGGCAACCUGCUGGAAAAGCACUGGAAUGGCUCGGAUAUCUGUGUAGCGGUGAUAGCACCAAUCUCAAAGACAUGAUGAAGAGCAAGAUCAGUCUCAGCCAGGACAAAUCCAGCAGCACAGUUUAUUUAAGAGGACAAAACUUUCAGUUCGAGGUCACGGCUGUGUAUUACUGUGCCAGAGACACAACACUACAAACUCACUGAAGCCCUGUACAAAAACAUCCCUGGUUAUUUUCCUCUCUCUGCAGUACACAUGUCCCCAGAGGGGUCUGGUAUAUAUGAGCUAGCAGAGCUAAGACACUUCUGUAGUUCAAAGAUAUCUACAUAAGGUUUCAUCUUUGUCUCAAUAUUAAAAUAAAUUCUUGUCCUGAACACAAGUGAAUACACAGUUACUCCAUCAUUAAUACAACACCAAUCUAUUCCAAAGUGUUUGUGCAGCUUG
Non-coding RNA from Tachysurus fulvidraco (yellow catfish), 690 nucleotides. Lineage: Eukaryota; Metazoa; Chordata; Actinopteri; Siluriformes; Bagridae. The record is from the annotation of a RefSeq genome assembly.